Molecule: long non-coding RNA, 2490 nt
Organism: Oreochromis niloticus (Nile tilapia)
Lineage: Eukaryota; Metazoa; Chordata; Actinopteri; Cichliformes; Cichlidae
Exons: 2
Source: RefSeq, a predicted model, not a curated record
CAAACUGUAUAAGGGGUUUAUCUAGCUCUGUAAAGCCAAAGCAGGAGAUAUAAAGACACACACAGAGCCACAGAGAGUAUUUUACCGGCGUGUUUGAACGUUUCCAAAUCUCAGAAUAAAAUGUCUUCACCUGCUGAGGUGUGUGUGGCUGUCUCAGUGUGUGGGAGGCCUUCAUGUGUGCGCGCUGUUCACAGUUUGGAUACGGUGGACUCUUCGGUUGCUUACCACAUCCAGGUUCCUGUGCAUGCAAUGCCAGCAAUGGGGGUUGAAGAGCCAGCUGGUUUUACCGGUUAAAAUACUAAACUUGUGUUUUUGAAAAAUUUACAUGUGUAUAUACAUAUAUAUAUAUAUAUAUAUAUAUAUGUAUAGAAUCUUUAUGCUACACUGCAGCACUGUUCCCAUCCUGUUGGCAUGGGGUUAAAACAGGCCAUAAGAGUUUAUGUGCCAACACAUAUACCUUUAUACACAAUCUUAUGUUAUCUAAGAAGAACAGAAAUGCUCCCAUAAAGUAAUUGGAGGCAAGACACUUAAAGCCUAUCAAUGCAACUUAGGACCGUGCUCCCUCCACUAGGAGCUUUAACAAGACUAGCGGGGCUUUUUGAUGCUCUCAGUCUAAAUCCUUAAUGUGUCUGCAAACAAAUUGAGAAUCCAGUCUUUAAAUAUCCUUCUUCUCAGUCCUGGUCAGCUUUCAAAUGACCUUAAAGUAUUAAUCUUAUCUUUUAAAUUUAUUAUCGGAUGGCCAUUGGUAAAGUUACAUUAUAUAGCACCAGUUCACAACAGCAGUUAUCUCUAUGAGCUUUACACUGUAAGGUAAAGACCCUGAAAUAUCAGAUGUAAAUUCGGAACAACCCCCAUGACCACUUGGUGACUGUGGGAAAGAAGAGACCUCAGCAGGCUGCAGGGCAGUUGGGGGGUGGUAAGGAAACACGACAGGACCGAGGAGUAAAGAGAGCCCAUAAACAACAAACAAGAUGAAACACAAAAUACUGGAAACUGGUGCAGAAUAAACAUGUAUAUGAUGUGUAACAUCACAUGGCUACCAUAGAGAUAUUGCAACGGUACAGUAUUUGUUUAAGACAAUUUCAGGGCAGUGAAUACUGUGAAACUACUUGGCAGGUAAGUAAUAAAUAUUUUUGUUGUUGUCAAUGAGAGAAUUAGCAUUAUCAAUAAUGUAGGAUCACAGUUUAACUUCUGUAAACUAACAGUAUAUUCAUGUAAUCUGCUUCUAAUAAUAAAGUAAAAGCAUAAACACGCUGCUGUUCUCUGUCAUUAUAAGUGUUCAUUUUAAGAGUGAAUAUGUGCGUGCGUGGCUGAGCACGAAAACACUUAUCCUUUCAGAUUGCCAGGUGACAUUUUGUAAAUGGUGGGUCACAGUGUGUGUUUCUGGUGGACUGACAAGACACACAACGAGGGACAAAUAACAAAGUGGAAAUGCACGAUUGGCAGUGUGACACACAUACAGACACGCAAUCCCCAAAGACUUGGAAGUGUACUAGUUUACGAGAGUCAAAAUAGAUUUCUGUAAAUAGAAAAGUACAAAGAAGAACAAAUUCUGUUAUGAAAUACUCAGAGGCUGGACGCAGGCACACCACUGCCAUCUAGUGGUCACAGGAAGAAACGCAGGACAUUCAACAGUGAGUAUCAGGCAGAGAAGCCACAUACAAAAGAGCCUCAUAAACUGUGAUUGCUUUUAAAAUUAAAUCUGCUUUAGUUGCAGCUAACAUAACUGAACACGUGAAUGUUUCUAAUGGCCUCAUUACUCUACUUGUCGGUGCCCAUCCAAAUCCUGGAUCCUCAGUUCUUGCUCAUGAAUACAUCCAAAUCCAGAAUGACAUGAUUGAUGGAAUAAGGUGUGGAUCUUUGACCACUCAAACACUGAAGUGACCUGUCACCUAAACAGACCUGAUCAACAAGAAUACCUGCACCUCGCUGAGAUAUGUGUACAAACUACAAGCCAAAAUUAAUACAUCUCCUUAAUCCAUUCACGUUAAACCAACAUACGACAUUGCUCAGUCUUCUUUGCAUUCAGUUUUAUUGUGAGUUGCUUAAAAAGCAUUAAGUAUGACUCCCAGGGACAGUUUUAUUAUGAUCUUUGGUGAGUGUUGUUAUAAACAUACAGUCCUAAAAAUGCUGUAUGAUAAAUAUUAUGCACAAACCAGCAUCCAACAAAAGUUUAGCUAGUCGCUUUAGGUGCAAGAUCAAAAUUUAAAAAUGGCAUUACUACUCUAUACAGAACUGUUUUAAAAAAGCCCACUGGAGAUAUGCAUCCUAUCACUAUGUAUCAAACAUAUAUCGAUCCUUUUUAGCACAGUUUCUUCAUCGGGUGUGCUUGAUUAAUCUGUCUGGACAUGCAGGUGACCGACUGUGUACAGUGUUGUGUACAGUGGAACAGCGUUGGUAAAUUAGACUAAAUCAAGCACACCGGCUAUAGCAGACUAUGAUAAAUCACAGACCGACGUUUGCAAGGGUGUCUCUACUCCCGCUCUGCUA